GUGCUUAACACAUGCAAGUCGAACGCGAAAGGGACUUCGGUCCCGAGUAGAGUGGCGCACGGGUGAGUAACGCGUAAGUAAUCUACCCCUGUAUCUGGAAUAACCCACCGAAAGGUGAGCUAAUACCGGAUACGUUUAUCUUGAUGCGAAUGAUGAUAAAGAAAGGUGGCCUCUUCAUGAAAGCUACCGUACAGGGACGAGCUUGCGUACCAUUAGCUGGUUGGUAGGGUAAUGGCCUACCAAGGCGACGAUGGUUAGCGGGUCUGAGAGGAUGAUCCGCCACACUGGAACUGAAACACGGACCAGACUCCUACGGGAGGCAGCAGUGAGGAAUAUUGCGCAAUGGGGGCAACCCUGACGCAGCGACGCCGCGUGGACGAUGAAGGCCCUUGGGUCGUAAAAUCCUGUCAGAUGGAAAGAAAUGUACAGGUGUUAAUAUCGCCUGUAUUUGACGGUACCAUCAAAGGAAGCACCGGCUAACUCCGUGCCAGCAGCCGCGGUAAUACGGA
This 509-nucleotide ribosomal RNA is filed under the name uncultured delta proteobacterium. Its description in RNAcentral is "bacterial SSU rRNA". It matches the Rfam family "Bacterial small subunit ribosomal RNA", at positions 44 to 529 of the family's 1533-position model. Lineage: Bacteria; Deltaproteobacteria. The record is from RNAcentral.